GAUGAACGCUGGCGGCGUGCCUAAUACAUGCAAGUCGAGCGAACAGACGAGGAGCUUGCUCCUCUGACGUUAGCGGCGGACGGGUGAGUAACACGUGGAUAACCUACCUAUAAGACUGGGAUAACUUCGGGAAACCGGAGCUAAUACCGGAUAACAUUUUGAACCGCAUGGUUCAACAGUGAAAGACGGUUUUGCUGUCACUUAUAGAUGGAUCCGCGUCGCAUUAGCUAGUUGGUAAGGUAACGGCUUACCAAGGCAACGAUGCGUAGCCGACCUGAGAGGGUGAUCGGCCACACUGGAACUGAGACACGGUCCAGACUCCUACGGGAGGCAGCAGUAGGGAAUCUUCCGCAAUGGGCGAAAGCCUGACGGAGCAACGCCGCGUGAGUGAAGAAGGUCUUCGGAUCGUAAAACUCUGUUAUUAGGGAAGAACAAAUGUGUAAGUAACUAUGCACGUCUUGACGGUACCUAAUCAGAAAGCCACGGCUAACUACGUG
RNAcentral lists this ribosomal RNA (497 nucleotides) under uncultured bacterium. Its description in RNAcentral is "partial 16S ribosomal RNA". It matches the Rfam family "Bacterial small subunit ribosomal RNA", at positions 28 to 507 of the family's 1533-position model. The record is from RNAcentral.